CCGCUACUAUACUCGUCAAUCGCCGUCCUGGGGAGUCCUGAUAACGCGCGUAUAGUCGGAUAUCGACGCUACAGGGGUAGAAAAUAUAGCGCCUUUAGUCGCAUUUCGGCCCCAAGGAGUUAAGAAAAGAAAAUAAAAUCCCAUCGGGAGUGCAUUUCCAUCUAAUUGGGAUAGCCGAUAAAGAUUUUACUAAUGAUGACGGUUGGGAAAUGCAGAGGCUUUCGUCCAUAAUGAAAAAACUUGGACACUCACGUAAAACAAUCGAUAUUCUGAAGAUAGAUAUAGAAGGAUGGGAAUGGAAAGUUCUUCCGGACAUACUGCUGUCUCAACAGUUUGAGUGUGUAAAACAACUUGCCAUAGAAGUUCAUUUUGGACUACAGAUUAACAAGACAACUGGAUUUAAAACAUUCUCUCGAAAUAACUGGGGUUUUGUUUCAAAGAAUGAACAAUUAGAUGUGCUUAAAAACCUGCAGACGUUUGGCUUUAAGAUAUUCAAAAGAAAAUCAAACCCUGUGUCGAAGGUGUUUUUAAAAAGAUUUUGUAGAGAGAUAACAACUUGUAACGUUUUAUCGUUGAUAAAUCAUAAUUUUGAACCCAGUAAAUGUCAAAUUUCAAUAAGUCUGUGAUGUUAAGAAAAAACCUAUAUUGUGCAUGUUAUAGGAAUCAUACACUUAGAAACUAAUAAGAAAUAUGAAUUUCCCUGAUCACAAAACAGCACAUUAUUCAAACGGCCUCCACAAAUAUCAUAGCUCUUUUUCCCUCAAUAUUUCUUGACCUGACUAAAGAUAACCAUAUC
Long non-coding RNA from Mercenaria mercenaria, 796 nucleotides. RefSeq lists it as uncharacterized. The transcript is spliced from 2 exons. Lineage: Eukaryota; Metazoa; Mollusca; Bivalvia; Venerida; Veneridae. The record is from RefSeq and is a predicted model, not a curated record.